RNAcentral lists this ribosomal RNA (120 nucleotides) under Scophthalmus maximus (turbot). Lineage: Eukaryota; Metazoa; Chordata; Actinopteri; Pleuronectiformes; Scophthalmidae. The record is from RNAcentral.
GCUUACGGCCACACCGCCUGGUUCACGCCUGAUCUCAAUUGAUCACGGAAGCUAAGAUAGGGUGGGCCAGGUUAGUACUUGGAUGGGGAGACCGCCUGGGAAUACCAGGUGCUGUAAGCU